This 254-nucleotide ribosomal RNA is filed under the name uncultured bacterium. RNAcentral describes it as "partial 16S ribosomal RNA". It matches the Rfam family "Bacterial small subunit ribosomal RNA", at positions 524 to 776 of the family's 1533-position model. The record is from RNAcentral.
UACGUAGGUGGCAAGCGUUGUCCGGAUUUAUUGGGUUUAAAGGGUGCGUAGGCGGUUCGGUAAGUCGGGUGUGAAAACUCUGGGCUCAACCCAGAGCCGCCACUCGAUACUGCUGUGACUCGAGUGCGGUAGGGGAGCGGGGAAUUCCUGGUGUAGCGGUGAAAUGCGCAGAUAUCAGGAGGAACACCAGUGGCGAAGGCGCCGCUCUGGGCCGUGACUGACGCUGAGGAGCGAAAGCGUGGGUAGCAAACAGG